RNAcentral lists this ribosomal RNA (248 nucleotides) under uncultured crenarchaeote. RNAcentral's name for it is "partial 16S ribosomal RNA". It matches the Rfam family "Archaeal small subunit ribosomal RNA", at positions 478 to 726 of the family's 1478-position model. The record is from RNAcentral. Lineage: Archaea; Thermoproteati; Thermoproteota.
AGCUCUUCGAGUGGUGUGGAUGUUUAUUGGGCCUAAAGCAUCCGUAGCUGGCUAAGUUAGUCCCCUGUUAAAUCCACCGAAUUAAUCGUUGGAUUGCGGGGGAUACUGCUUGGCUAGGGGACGAGAGAGGCAGACGGUAUUUCCGGGGUAGGGGUGAAAUCCUAUAAUCCCGGGAAGACCACCAGUGGCGAAGGCUGUCUGCUAGAACGCGCCCGACGGUGAGGGAUGAAAGCUGGGGGAGCGAACCG